RNAcentral lists this long non-coding RNA (719 nucleotides) under Homo sapiens (human). RNAcentral describes it as "HSALNT0404639". The record is from RNAcentral. Lineage: Eukaryota; Metazoa; Chordata; Mammalia; Primates; Hominidae.
AGUGCGCAGCCUGGGUGGGGGCUCAGGACAAGGGGCUCUUAUGGAGCCCCUCGAGACCCCCAGGAGGUGGACACUGCCCCCAGCUCUUGGUGGAGCCCUUGGGCUGCAACAGCAGGAACUGAACCCCAGGGGCUUUGGGGUUAAGAGAAGAAUGUCUGGACGUUAGCGGCAAAAGCAGGCGGGUGGGGCAGUGAGCACAAGCGGGGGUGCCCCUGAUACUGGCUACCCCUCCACAUCUAUCUCUGUCCGGGUCUGCCUCUGUCCUCGGCACACGGCACGCGCUGCUCCGGGGGCGGCCGCGCCACAGGACUCGGAUCCAGGCCAGCAGCUGCCCAGCCCAAGGCUCCUUGCACCACCGUGUGAGCCACAUACUUUCCGGAUAGGAGAAGGUCCAGAAGGUGAAGUCUGCGCCCAGGACCUGCAGAGGUGAGAGGCCCGAAGCCUUCCCCGGAUGCACUCAUGACCGGGGCCUGGCCAGCAGGCGUCCGGGAGUCAGCGGCUGCUUGGGGAACCAGGGCCCCACUCACACGCGGGAAGGUGAUGGUGGCAGGCAGACUGGUAGCUGAGAGCGAAAGGUGUGGCGGGAUCCGCCUGGCUGCUGCUGGAGCCCCAGGCUCGUGAAUCGCCUCUGCGUCCCGUCCCCUGCGUUGGGCAGCUUCACCUGCUCAUCCUGCUCGGCCUGGGUGUUUCUGCUCCUAAGCGCCCCCCUCACGGUGGUC